ACUGCGAGUGAAGCGGGAAAAGCUCAAAUUUAAAAUCUGAGGGUCUUUAUGGCCUUCCGAGUUGUAAUCUAGAGAAGUGCUAUCCGCGCUGGACCGUGUACAAGUCUCCUGGAACGGAGCGUCAUAGAGGGUGAGAAUCCCGUCUUUGACACGGACUACCAGGGCUUAUGUGAUGCGCUCUCAAAGAGUCGAGUUGUUUGGGAAUGCAGCUCUAAAUGGGUGGUAAAUUCCAUCUAAAGCUAAAUAUUGGCGAGAGACCGAUAGCGAACAAGUACCGUGAGGGAAAGAUGAAAAGAACUUUGGAAAGAGAGUUAAACAGUACGUGAAAUUGUUGAAAGGGAAACGCUUGAAGUCAGUCGCAUUGGCCAGGGAUCAACCUUGCUUUUGCUUGGUGUAUUUUCUGGUUAAUGGGUCAGCAUCAAUUUUGAUCGGUGGAAAAAGAUCAAGGGAAUGUGGCAUCUUCGGAUGUGUUAUAGCCUUUGGUUGUAUACAUCGGUUGGGAUUGAGGAACUCAGCACGCCGCAAGGCCGGGUUUUUAACCACGUACGUGCUUAGGAUGCUGGCAUAAUGGCUUUAAUCGACCCGUCUUGAAACACGGACCAAGGAGUCUAACAUGCACGCGAGUGUUUGGGUGGAAAACCCGAGCGCGUAAUGAAAGUGAAAAUUGAGAUCCCUGUCGUGGGGAGCAUCGAUGCCCGGACCAGACCUUUUGUGACGGUUCCGCGGUUGAGCGUGUAUGCUGGGACCCGAAAGAUGGUGAACUAUGCCUGAAUAGGGUGAAGCCAGAGGAAACUCUGGUGGAGGCUCGUAGCGAUUCUGACGUGCAAAUCGAUCGUCAAAUUUGGGUAUAGGGGCGAAAG
Molecule: ribosomal RNA, 860 nt
Filed under: Tricholoma terreum
Lineage: Eukaryota; Fungi; Basidiomycota; Agaricomycetes; Agaricales; Tricholomataceae
Description: eukaryotic LSU rRNA
Rfam family: Eukaryotic large subunit ribosomal RNA
Source: RNAcentral